UAUCUUGAGAUUUCUUCAAAUCUUCGAUUUUCAUCGAAAUUCUAAUUCGGGAAUAGCCCAUAUUGCUUUAGCGCUAUAAAUUUCAGAAGCAUGAAAAAUUUUGGCAGUUCUAUAUGAACCAGCACUUAAAACCAGCCACAAGAUGUUGGCAUUUUGUUGGCACUUUGUGUAGUAUUCUGUGCUUGGUAUACUCAAUGUUCUUCAACUGGCGGUGCCUAAUUUUCGUGCCCUUAUUUGGGUAUUGUUUGCCGUGGUAUAGCCAUUUCUUUGUUGAAAAGAAUGUUCUAGCAACUUUUGGGCAUCCCUUCUCGUCUCUACUAUGUGAUUGGAAGAUGUUUGGCCUAAUGCUUGGUCAAAUGGAUAGAGAAAUCAAGAGGCUUGGUAAGGGGCCUAUCUUGCAAACCUACGGAUUUUCUGAUUUUAGUUUGUUUAGAAGACGUAGUUUUAAUAGCAAGUGAAUCUUUUUCAAUUUUGUUUGAACUUUCUAUAUUGCCUUUUCUGUUCCUUUUUUUAUGGUCUUCACCAUUACUGCAAUCACACCACCACCAACACCAUCAUCACUAACACAACAACGCACCAGAGACAUAUCUUUGCACACCACCACACACAUGUACACACUAUCACAUAAAGAUCCGCAUCACAUAUUUAGCCUUCAAUCGUCACCAAAGCCUUUGAACUCAUCCAUCACCAUCGAUAAAAAAAAAUCCCCAACACCUACUCACCUUUGAUUGGAGGCUCAGCCCCUCAUGUAGGCCCACAUCCUAAAAUCAGCAAGGACUAUUUACAAGUUCGUAUUUUUCC
Molecule: long non-coding RNA, 801 nt
Filed under: Olea europaea subsp. europaea
Lineage: Eukaryota; Viridiplantae; Streptophyta; Magnoliopsida; Lamiales; Oleaceae
Source: RNAcentral